AAGUGUGAAGGAUGGAGGAGUGGGGUGCACACCAGCUCUGGAAGCAGCAAGGCGGAUGCAGCCCCUGGCCAGUACUGGGGGUUUGGGGAAGAAAUGACAUGGCUAUGGCCUGGGAAGGGACACAGGGAGAUGGGUCGGGCAGCCCCUCCCCCAUCCUGAUACCAGUGUCUGAGUUUUCCAGGUAGAAAUCAACACCUGAGGAUCUGGUGGGCCAGGGACAGUGGUAGGUCCCUUCUUGUCAAACAAAUCUAUGGCUAACAGUAUUCAGGAGACACAUACUGAUGCCGAAGUAUGGGAAACUUGACAAUUUCUCAGUCUGGACCAGAAGUGGCCAUGCAGGCUGAAUCUGCCCAACAGGUCCAGACAUCUGGCAACUCUGGGAGCAGGAGCUGGGCUGCGUCACACUCUUACCAAUCCUAGGAAACCCCAGGGAACUCAGGAUGCCCCUGGAAUACACUCAGCCCUCAUGCUCCCACUUAUCUGAGGGGUGACCUUGAGCUCCCUGGGACAGGGAAGGGCUGGGCCCCCAGAAGAGGGCCAGUGGGUGGUCAAUUUCCAGGUUCCCUGGGUGUUCCAGGUCCUCUUGCUCCUUGUCACCAAGGCAGCAUCAUCUGUGUGAAUGUGACACACCAGGAUGGAUAUUUCAUCUCUCUCGUUCCCGCUGUCUCCCCGGCCCUGGCACACAGUACAGCAGGGGGCUCUCUUCCACUCAUAUAUGCAGCCAACCUCACCAACCUACAAGAUCUCUGUGGCCAUCCGGGCCCUGCCUGAGAAGAGGUGACCACGCUAGACCCUGCCAGCCCCAGGAGACCCUGAACCAUCCAGCCCCAGCUCUGCCACUUCCUCUUCAGGAGCCUUUGGCCACCUCACCCCUCUGUGGACCUUGGUUUCCUGGACAGGGCUGGGUGGGGCUGAAAGUUCGGGGGAUGCUGCCCCCCAUAGAAAGCAGAGGGGACCGCGUGAAAUGCCCAGGCCUGGACCCCAGGGACAUAGGCCCCUGCUAGGGUCGGGGCAGGAAGAAGGAGGGGGCCAUAAAGGAGAAGCCCCCGGAUACCUUCUGGGCCCAGUAUCCAUAUCCUGGGGCCCUCCUGCCCUGUACCUUGCACGCACCCCUGGCUCCUCCAUGGCUGCCCACCCCGACCACAUCAUCUCUCCCUGCAGCCGUGGCCCCCCCCCCAGCUUGGUGCCUGGUUGGGGUUGGGGGCAGCAGAAGGGGUCUGGCUGCUGCUCAGAACCACCACAGAGGAAGGAGGCCAUAGGUCCCCACGUCCAGGGUGCUAAAAGCUAGUGACACUUGGGCUCCGUCGCACACAGGCCUGCUAAUGACACCUGGGCCACAGGUCUUGAAUGGACACUUGGGAAAGGUGGGCCAGCCGCAUCCCCUGCUCUUAUGCAGGGCCACCCACUGAGGAGGUCCCUCCCAGGCCCAGCUGCUUCUUUGGGCUCUCUGAGGGGUGGUGGAGGGGAGGAGUCCCUGCUCUGCCCGAGUCUGCCUUCCCAGCCCUGGGCAGUGGGGAUCUACAAAGCUGUUUGCAUGAGUGGCAUUUCUCAGCAGCAAUCCCAGGUGGUCCCACAGACCACCCUAUCCCCAGGAGAACCAAGAGCCAGAGAAGGGGCCAGGAAGCUGCAGCAAAGAGGCUGCUGCUCAGGUCACCUGGCAGGGAUGCAGGGGAUUCCAGGCUGAGACCCAGGCUCCUCUCGCUUCUGGACAAGAGGCCCAGAAGCACAGUGCCCUGCCCAGGACCAGAGCCCUCCCCAGCUCUGCAGCCCACUCCCCCCUCUGAGGACCCAGAAGAAGAGGGGCAGGCACCGAGGUUCUGGAGCUCCAGUGCAGGCCAAGCCACCACCUCAUGUUGUCCUCCAGCUGCCUUCCUUGUAAUUAAGAGCAAACUUUGUAGCAAUGUCUCCUUUAGCUGUUGUCUUACCCCGCCUCCCAAAUGAUAAAUUGUUAAUGAGCACCUGUUACAAUGCUAAUGAAAGUGAGAUCCGUAUGUAAAUAAAGAAAAUUUAAUAACUUAACAAGGUGGAUUAAAAUGCCCAACCUCCUCAGCAGCUAAUCUGGGCCAAACACCGAAGGGUUGCCA
This is a long non-coding RNA of Heterocephalus glaber (naked mole-rat), 2084 nucleotides long. NCBI's taxonomy places the organism in Eukaryota, Metazoa, Chordata, Mammalia, Rodentia, Bathyergidae. The record is from Ensembl.